This is a long non-coding RNA of Oncorhynchus keta (chum salmon), 3486 nucleotides long. RefSeq lists it as uncharacterized. NCBI's taxonomy places the organism in Eukaryota, Metazoa, Chordata, Actinopteri, Salmoniformes, Salmonidae. The transcript has 18 exons. The record is from RefSeq and is a predicted model, not a curated record.
AGUCAGUCUGUUGUUUAAUGUAUAAUAGUCUAAUGAAUAUCCCUUAUCUCAGUGUGGCAUAACAAUCCUUAAGCACCUGGAAACACUGGACAAUAAUACAUUCACAAAUAUGAUUCACUUUCUGGUCUGUGCUGUAUCAGGCCGAAUCCGACCCGAGGUAAGAGCUCGUAAAUGGAACAUUAUUCCCUUUUCAUGUACCCUGUCUUGUCUAUUCUGACCUUGAACAUCAGCAUGAGAAUAGCACCCUGUCUGUGGGGUGGAUGGUUUAACACUUGACUAGGGGUGGAUGGUGUAACACUUGACUAGGGGUGGAUGGUUUAACACUUGACUAGAGGUGGAUGGUGUAACACUUGACUAGGGGUGGAUGGUGUAACACUUGACUAGGGGUGGAUGGUGUAACACUUGACUAGAGGUGGAUGGUGUAACACUUGACUAGAGGUGGAUGGUGUAACACUUGACUAGGGGUGGAUGGUGUAACACUUGACUAGGGGUGGAUGGUGUAACACUUGACUAGGGGUGGAUGGUGUAACACUUGACUAGGGGUGGAUGGUGUAACACUUGACUAGAGGUGGAUGGUGUAACACUUGACUAGAGGUGGAUGGUGUAACACUUGACUAGAGGUGGAUGGUGUAACACUUGACUAGAGGUGGAUGGUGUAACACUUGACUAGAGGUGGAUGGUGUAACACUUGACUAGAGGUGGAUGGUGUAACACUUGACUAGGGGUGGAUGGUGUAACACUUGACUAGAGGUGGAUGGUUUAACACUUGACUAGAGGUGGAUGGUGUAACACUUGACUAGAGGUGGAUGGUGUAACACUUGACUAGAGGUGGAUGGUGUAACACUUGACUAGAGGUGGAUGGUGUAACACUUGACUAGAGGUGGAUGGUGUAACACUUGACUAGAGGUGGAUGGUGUAACACUUGACUAGAGGUGGAUGGUGUAACACUUGACUAGAGGUGGAUGGUGUAACACUUGACUAGAGGUGGAUGGUGUAACACUUGACUAGAGGUGGAUGGUGUAACACUUGACUAGAGGUGGAUGGUGUAACACUUGACUAGAGGUGGAUGGUGUAACACUUGACUAGAGGUGGAUGGUUUAACACUUGACUAGGGGUGGAUGGUGUAACACUUGACUAGGGGUGGAUGGUGUAACACUUGACUAGGGGUGGAUGGUUUAACACUUGACUAGAGGUGGAUGGUGUAACACUUGACUAGGGGUGGAUGGUGUAACACUUGACUAGAGGUGGAUGGUGUAACACUUGACUAGAGGUGGAUGGUGUAACACUUGACUAGGGGUGGAUGGUUUAACACUUGACUAGAGGUGGAUGGUUUAACACUUGACUAGGGGUGGAUGGUGUAACACUUGACUAGGGGUGGAUGGUUUAACACUUGACUAGAGGUGGAUGGUUUAACACUUGACUAGGGGUGGAUGGUGUAACACUUGACUAGGGGUGGAUGGUUUAACACUUGACUAGAGGUGGAUGGUGUAACACUUGACUAGAGGUGGAUGGUGUAACACUUGACUAGGGGUGGAUGGUGUAACACUUGACUAGAGGUGGAUGGUUUAACACUUGACUAGAGGUGGAUGGUGUAACACUUGACUAGAGGUGGAUGGUGUAACACUUGACUAGGGGUGGAUGGUGUAACACUUGACUAGGGGUGGAUGGUGUAACACUUGACUAGGGGUGGAUGGUGUAACACUUGACUAGGGGUGGAUGGUUUAACACUUGACUAGAGGUGGAUGGUUUAACACUUGACUAGGGGUGGAUGGUGUAACACUUGACUAGGGGUGGAUGGUUUAACACUUGACUAGGGGUGGAUGGUGUAACACUUGACUAGAGGUGGAUGGUUUAACACUUGACUAGAGGUGGAUGGUGUAACACUUGACUAGGGGUGGAUGGUGUAACACUUGACUAGAGGUGGAUGGUUUAACACUUGACUAGGGGUGGAUGGUUUAACACUUGACUAGAGGUGGAUGGUGUAACACUUGACUAGAGGUGGAUGGUGUAACACUUGACUAGAGGUGGAUGGUGUAACACUUGACUAGAGGUGGAUGGUGUAACACUUGACUAGGGGUGGAUGGUUUAACACUUGACUAGAGGUGGAUGGUGUAACACUUGACUAGAGGUGGAUGGUGUAACACUUGACUAGAGGUGGAUGGUUUAACACUUGACUAGAGGUGGAUGGUUUAACACUUGACUAGAGGUGGAUGGUUUAACACUUGACUAGGGGUGGAUGGUGUAACACUUGACUAGGGGUGGAUGGUUUAACACUUGACUAGAGGUGGAUGGUGUAACACUUGACUAGGGGUGGAUGGUGUAACACUUGACUAGAGGUGGAUGGUUUAACACUUGACUAGAGGUGGAUGGUGUAACACUUGACUAGGGGUGGAUGGUGUAACACUUGACUAGAGGUGGAUGGUUUAACACUUGACUAGAGGUGGAUGGUGUAACACUUGACUAGAGGUGGAUGGUGUAACACUUGACUAGAGGUGGAUGGUGUAACACUUGACUAGGGGUGGAUGGUGUAACACUUGACUAGAGGUGGAUGGUGUAACACUUGACUAGGGGUGGAUGGUGUAACACUUGACUAGAGGUGGAUGGUUUAACACUUGACUAGAGGUGGAUGGUGUAACACUUGACUAGAGGUGGAUGGUGUAACACUUGACUAGAGGUGGAUGGUGUAACACUUGACUAGAGGUGGAUGGUGUAACACUUGACUAGAGGUGGAUGGUGUAACACUUGACUAGGGGUGGAUGGUGUAACACUUGACUAGGGGUGGAUGGUGUAACACUUGACUAGGGGUGGAUGGUGUAACACUUGACUAGAGGUGGAUGGUUUAACACUUGACUAGGGGUGGAUGGUGUAACACUUGACUAGGGGUGGAUGGUGUAACACUUGACUAGAGGUGGAUGGUGUAACACUUGACUAGAGGUGGAUGGUGUAACACUUGACUAGGGGUGGAUGGUGUAACACUUGACUAGAGGUGGAUGGUGUAACACUUGACUAGGGGUGGAUGGUGUAACACUUGACUAGAGGUGGAUGGUUUAACACUUGACUAGAGGUGGAUGGUGUAACACUUGACUAGAGGUGGAUGGUGUAACACUUGACUAGAGGUGGAUGGUGUAACACUUGACUAGAGGUGGAUGGUUUAACACUUGACUAGAGGUGGAUGGUGUAACACUUGACUAGAGGUGGAUGGUGUAACACUUGACUAGAGGUGGAUGGUGUAACACUUGACUAGAGGUGGAUGGUUUAACACUUGACUAGAGGUGGAUGGUGUAACACUUGACUAGGGGUGGAUGGUGUAACACUUGACUAGGGGUGGAUGGUGUAACACUUGACUAGGGGUGGAUGGUGUAACACUUGACUAGAGGUGGAUGGUGUAACACUUGACUAGGGGUGGAUGGUGUAACACUUGACUAGGGGUGGAUGGUGUAACACUUGACUAGGGCUGGAUGGUUUAACACUUGACUAGGGGUGGAU